CUUCUUUUUUUUUUUUUUAAAUUUUCCAUUGCUUGCUACAGUUGUUUCAUUUUUUAUUGUUUUAAACAUUGUUUAUGUAGCUUUAUAGCUUACCCUGGCAAUUUUGCUGAUUCACCUACCUUACUCUUCUAACUGGUGAUUCACUUUUAAUUAUUUUACUUGUGUUUUCUGUCCCUAUGUAAAUUCCAGUUACCUUUUUUUGCCUGUUUGCUUAAGGUUAAAGGGUACGUGGGAGAA
This 237-nucleotide unclassified non-coding RNA is filed under the name Hevea brasiliensis (rubber tree). Lineage: Eukaryota; Viridiplantae; Streptophyta; Magnoliopsida; Malpighiales; Euphorbiaceae. The record is from RNAcentral.